AGGAAUUGACGGGGGCCCGCACAAGCAGUGGAGUAUGUGGUUUAAUUCGAAGCAACGCGAAGAACCUUACCAGGUCUUGACAUCCGAUGCAUAGCACAGAGAUGUGUGAAAUCCUUCGGGACAUCGAGACAGGUGGUGCAUGGUUGUCGUCAGCUCGUGUCGUGAGAUGUUGGGUUAAGUCCCGCAACGAGCGCAACCCUUAUUGCCAGUUACUACGUUAAGAGGACUCUGGCGAGACUGCCGUUGACAAAACGGAGGAAGGUGGGGAUGACGUCAAAUCAUCAUGCCCUUUAUGACCUGGGCUACACACGUACUACAAUGGCGUUAAACAAAGAGAAGCAAGACCGCGAGGUGGAGCAAAACUCAAAAACAACGUCUCAGUUCAGAUUGCAGGCUGCAACUCGCCUGCAUGAAGUCGGAAUUGCUAGUAAUCGCGGAUCAGCAUGCCGCGGUGAAUACGUUCCCGGGCCUUGUACACACCGCCCGUCACACCAUGAGAGCCGGGGGGACCCGAAGUCGAUAGUCUAACCGCAAGGAGGACGUCGCCGAAGGUAAAACUG
Molecule: ribosomal RNA, 560 nt
Filed under: uncultured organism
Description: SSU rRNA
Rfam family: Bacterial small subunit ribosomal RNA
Source: RNAcentral